This 404-nucleotide ribosomal RNA is filed under the name Actinomycetes bacterium. RNAcentral's name for it is "Actinobacteria bacterium partial 16S ribosomal RNA". It matches the Rfam family "Bacterial small subunit ribosomal RNA", at positions 355 to 776 of the family's 1533-position model. Lineage: Bacteria; Bacillati; Actinomycetota; Actinomycetes. The record is from RNAcentral.
UGGGGAAUAUUGGACAAUGGGCGCAAGCCUGAUCCAGCCAUGCCGCGCGAGUGAUGAAGGCCCUAGGGUUGUAAAGCUCUUUCACCGGUGAAGAUAAUGACGGUAACCGGAGAAGAAGCCCCGGCUAACUUCGUGCCAGCAGCCGCGGUAAUACGAAGGGGGCUAGCGUUGUUCGGAUUUACUGGGCGUAAAGCGCACGUAGGCGGACUUUUAAGUCAGGGGUGAAAUCCCGGGGCUCAACCCCGGAACUGCCUUUGAUACUGGAAGUCUUGAGUAUGGUAGAGGUGAGUGGAAUUCCGAGUGUAGAGGUGAAAUUCGUAGAUAUUCGGGGGAACACCAGUGGCGAAGGCGGCUCACUGGACCAUUACUGACGCUGAGGUGCGAAAGCGGGGGGAGCAAACAGG